This 88-nucleotide transfer RNA is filed under the name Nevskiaceae bacterium. Its description in RNAcentral is "Sinobacteraceae bacterium tRNA-Leu". It matches the Rfam family "tRNA". Rfam says of the family: Transfer RNA (tRNA) molecules are approximately 80 nucleotides in length. Their secondary structure includes four short double-helical elements and three loops (D, anti-codon, and T loops). Lineage: Bacteria; Pseudomonadati; Pseudomonadota; Gammaproteobacteria; Nevskiales; Nevskiaceae. The record is from RNAcentral. RNAcentral also lists the same sequence under 2 other names.
GCCUGAGUGGCGGAACUGGUAGACGCAGCGGACUCAAAAUCCGCCGAGGCAACCCCUCGUGAAGGUUCGAUUCCUUUCUCAGGCACCA